This 433-nucleotide ribosomal RNA is filed under the name uncultured bacterium. RNAcentral describes it as "partial 16S ribosomal RNA". It matches the Rfam family "Bacterial small subunit ribosomal RNA", at positions 29 to 507 of the family's 1533-position model. The record is from RNAcentral.
AACGAACGCUGGCGGCAUGCCUAACACAUGCAAGUCGAACGAGACCUUCGGGUCUAGUGGCGCACGGGUGCGUAACGCGUGGGAAGCUGCCCUUAGGUUCGGAAUAACUCCCCGAAAGGGGUGCUAAUACCGGAUAAUGUCUUCGGACCAAAGAUUUAUCGCCUUUGGAUGGGCCCGCGUUGGAUUAGCUAGUUGGUAGGGUAAAAGCCUACCAAGGCGACGAUCCAUAGCUGGUCUGAGAGGAUGAUCAGCCACACUGGGACUGAGACACGGCCCAGAAUCCUACGGGAAGCAGCAGUGGGGAAUAUUGGACAAUGGGCGAAAGCCUGAUCCAGCAAUGCCGCGUGAGUGAUGAAGGCCUUAGGGUUGUAAAGCUCUUUUACCCGGGAUGAUAAUGACAGUACCGGGAGAAUAAGCUCCGGCUAACUCCGUG